RNAcentral lists this ribosomal RNA (775 nucleotides) under uncultured Neocallimastigales. Its description in RNAcentral is "partial large subunit ribosomal RNA". It matches the Rfam family "Eukaryotic large subunit ribosomal RNA", at positions 23 to 620 of the family's 3401-position model. The record is from RNAcentral. Lineage: Eukaryota; Fungi; Neocallimastigomycota; Neocallimastigomycetes; Neocallimastigales.
AGAGAGAGACAUGCGCGCAUAUCAAUAAGCGGAGGAAAAGAAACUAACAAGGAUUCCCUUAGUAACGGCGAGUGAAGCGGGAAGAGCUCAAAUUUGAAAUCUUCAAGGUUUUACCUUGACGAAUUGUAGUUUAAAGAAGUGUUUUCUGCUGAAGUUUUGGUAAAAGUUCUUUGGAAUAGGACAUCAUAGAGGGUGAGAAUCCCGUAUUUGACCAUUAUUUCAGCUUUGUGAUACACUUUCAAAGAGUCGGAUUGUUUGGGAAUGCAGUCCAAAAUGGGUGGUAAAUUUCAUCUAAAGCUAAAUAUUCGGCGAGAGACCGAUAGCGAACAAGUACCGUGAGGGAAAGAUGAAAAGAACUUUGAAAAGAGAGUUAAACAGUACGUGAAAUUGUCAAAAGGGAAGCGUUUGACACCAGUGUUGUUUUCUCGAAAAUCAAUUAAAAAUGGCUCGAUUUUGUAUUGCUUGAGACCUUAAAAGCUCACUGUACAUUUUUCGUGUCCUUUUUAAUGCACUUUUCGUUUAACAAGUCAACAUCAGUUUCUUUUGUUGUAAAAGGGUCACUGGAAGGUGGCUUUCUUUUCGGAGAAAGUGUUUAUAGCCUUUGGCCUCUGCAAUCGGAGAGACUGAGGUCUGCAGCGUAGACUCUUCGGGGUUAGAUACAUUUGUGCUAAGUUAUAGCUUUUUAUAGACAACUUGUUGACUAUAAUUAGUCUUGUAGCUUACUCGCUUAUGCUAUUUUACCUACGCUUAGGAUGUUGAAGAUGUAGCACAUCAU